UACGAAGGGGGCUAGCGUUGCUCGGAAUCACUGGGCGUAAAGCGCACGUAGGCGGAUUGUUAAGUCAGGGGUGAAAUCCUGGAGCUCAACUCCAGAACUGCCUUUGAUACUGGCGAUCUCGAGUCCGGGAGAGGUGAGUGGAACUCCGAGUGUAGAGGUGAAAUUCGUAGAUAUUCGCAAGAACACCAGUGGCGAAGGCGGCUCACUGGCCCGAUACUGACGCUGAGGCACGAAAGCGUGGGGAGCAAACAGG
Molecule: ribosomal RNA, 253 nt
Filed under: uncultured bacterium
Lineage: Bacteria
Description: partial 16S ribosomal RNA
Rfam family: Bacterial small subunit ribosomal RNA
Source: RNAcentral